CAGGGGAGAGGGGAUUGCGACUGAACGACCUGUGAGGAGGAUCAUGUGACAGGAGUGGGCGGAGCUCAGCAGAAGAGUAAUUGUUCUGGCUGAGGGACCUGUUGUGAGGAGCCUGACAUAUCUGCUAAGCAGCGAGACGUCAGUGACCCACCAGAGAGGAGCGCGGAGGAGAACACUUCUCGGCCUCUUUCAUCUUCUGCAGUGAACACAACAGACUCCAUUUCUGGUCCUUCAUGCCGGCUGCCGGAAUAGGAGCAUUGGAGAUGUCGAAUUCAACACUUCAUCAAAUCGUGAUCCUGCAGCGGUCCGCAACAGAGCAAAUUAAGUUGAAUAUUUUUAAGUUGAAAUACCUUCAGGAAAGGUGGGAAGAUUUUUUAUUUUUUCUCUUAACCAUUGAAUGAAUUUGCAGGAAUGAAUCUACCGAUGGCGAGUAAAAAAAUUUGUGAAAACUUCUUUUUUCCCCCAAGCGCAGAGCAAAUCAAUUCCGUCAUUCGACGUAAAAUGCAAAACAAGGUAAAAAAAAAUCAGCGUCUCCGAGAAAGGCUGUAUAUAUGUUUUUUUCUUCUUCAUCUAGAAUCACAUACCGCACCUACAAAUGAAGUUUCAUAGACUGGCUUGGUCACCAUGGUUACCUCUGCCGAUGCAAACCAAUGAAAGACGAACAGGGUCUGGUGGCGAGAGUCAGUGAAGACAAUCUGCUUCUGUAUCCAACCCCCGGAAAAAAAAUAAAAUGGGGGGUCUGUAAUGGCACGCUGCCAGUGCCUCCGCAAAGGGGACGGCCUGUCUGGCUAUAGACGUUUGUGUUACUGAAAUGGAUAAAAAGGACAAUAAAAACACCACGCCACACACAUGCACCCAGCGAUCAGCACAUCAAGGGCACGACUCCAUAAAUCACAUGGAUAUCCUAUUUAGCCUUUACCGCCGGAGGAUUUUUUUUUUUUCUGCCGUCCUUUAUAGACGUAAUUAAUAGACAGAGAAAUGUACAAAGAGCUGGUUAUUUAUUUUCGUUUUUUUUUCCGCAGGAUUUUAUGCCCCCCAUCAACACAAGUGCACCCACCGCCGCCCCUCCUCCUCCUCCUCAGUCUUUGGCAUUCUCCCCUCUUCCCUUGGCGUGCCCGAGGACUAGUGACUGGUUUAGCGCAUUUGCAUCACAAAACGCCAGCCCCUGUGAACUUGAGUGACCUUUUGACCUCCGCGAUUUGACUAGUGAAUUGCUGCGGUCCGGAUCACGCUGUCGUGUCAGUCUGAUUCCUACGUGAAUACAUUCUUAAUCCUCCACGUCGGUGUUACAGACGAGUCCUCAUUCACAAUCUUCCCAUUCCGGAGUCCUGACACAAACCCUUCUUUUUCUAAAGCCACUAUCUGUUUCUUUUUCCGCACCUGGACUUUUAUUUUUAUGAACCAGGGAGGAAAUAGGGGUAAAGAAAGGAGGCGCUGGGCAAAAUCGGAAUUCCUAAAACAAACCGCGACUGUUCACGAAACAAACUCUGAUUCAUGGCGCUCUGUUCUUUUUAUUCCUCUUUUUUCUACCACUUGUUUUCUUUUUGUUAGAAUUACAGAACUUCCAAAAAUCAUUUGUCCCUUUCAUUUUCGAAUGGAUAAAUAACUUUUAUCCAUCUAUUUUUCUAUCUAUUUUUCUAUCUAUUUUUCU
Molecule: long non-coding RNA, 1651 nt
Organism: Hyla sarda
Lineage: Eukaryota; Metazoa; Chordata; Amphibia; Anura; Hylidae
Exons: 3
Source: RefSeq, a predicted model, not a curated record